This 429-nucleotide ribosomal RNA is filed under the name Chloroflexota bacterium. RNAcentral describes it as "Chloroflexi bacterium partial 16S ribosomal RNA". It matches the Rfam family "Bacterial small subunit ribosomal RNA", at positions 355 to 776 of the family's 1533-position model. The record is from RNAcentral. Lineage: Bacteria; Bacillati; Chloroflexota.
UGGGGAAUAUUGCACAAUGGGCGCAAGCCUGAUGCAGCCAUGCCGCGUGUGUGAAGAAGGCCUUCGGGUUGUAAAGCACUUUCAGCGGGGAGGAAGGCGUUAAGGUUAAUAACCUUGGCGAUUGACGUUACCCGCAGAAGAAGCACCGGCUAACUCCGUGCCAGCAGCCGCGGUAAUACGGAGGGUGCAAGCGUUAAUCGGAAUUACUGGGCGUAAAGCGCACGCAGGCGGUCUGUCAAGUCGGAUGUGAAAUCCCCGGGCUCAACCUGGGAACUGCAUUCGAAACUGGCAGGCUAGAGUCUUGUAGAGGGGGGUAGAAUUCCAGGUGUAGCGGUGAAAUGCGUAGAGAUCUUGAGGAAUACCGGUGGCGAAGGCGGCCCCCUGGACAAAGACUGACGCUCAGGUGCGAAAGCGUGGGGAGCAAACAGG